CUACGUGCCAGCAGCCGCGGUAAUACGUAGGUCCCGAGCGUUGUCCGGAUUUAUUGGGCGUAAAGCGAGCGCAGACGGUUACUUAAGCAGGAUGUGAAAUCCCCGGGCUCAACCUGGGAACUGCGUUCUGAACUGGGUGACUAGAGUGUGUCAGAGGGAGGUAGAAUUCCACGUGUAGCAGUGAAAUGCGUAGAGAUGUGGAGGAAUACCGAUGGCGAAGGCAGCCUCCUGGGAUAACACUGACGUUCAUGCUCGAAAGCGUGGGUAGCAAACAGGAUUAGAUACCCUGGUAGUCCACGCCCUAAACGAUGUCAAUUAGCUGUUGGGCAACUUGAUUGCUUAGUAGCGUAGCUAACGCGUGAAAUUGACCGCCUGGGGAGUACGGUCGCAAGAUUAAAACUCAAAGGAAUUGACGGGGACCCGCACAAGCGGUGGAUGAUGUGGAUUAAUUCGAUGCAACGCGAAGAACCUUACCUGGUCUUGACAU
This 487-nucleotide ribosomal RNA is filed under the name uncultured bacterium. RNAcentral describes it as "bacterial SSU rRNA". It matches the Rfam family "Bacterial small subunit ribosomal RNA", at positions 501 to 987 of the family's 1533-position model. The record is from RNAcentral.